CCUGGAAUGCAAUGAGAUAAAUGCUAGCCAGAACUUCUCAUUCGGUCUCUUCCCAACUCCUUAAUGAAAGUAGUUCUGGAUUUUCAUUUCUGUGAUGUUUAGAAGCCUCCUAAACUUCAGCUAAGUUCAUCAAGGUCUGAUUUCUCAAUUUACCUAGCAUUUGCCAUUAAUAUGAUAUUUCUUUCCCUUCUGCUAGCAGCAUGAGCUAAUUGAAAGAAAAGUACACAAAUCCUUGUACACAGCUAGAAGAAUCUCCACCCCUCUUUUCCUUCUUUUGGUUUUGUUUUGUUUUUAACUUUGAAGUGUCUCUUCUCCUGGCUGUUACAAUAAUCUGGAAUUCCAAAUGGCUCAAUAGAAACACCACUGUAGGUGUCAUAUAGCAUAAUAUUAGACUAACACCUAAGUUAAGAUAUCAAGGAAGGUCCAAAUGUGAUGCAUUUAUGGUUUAGCUAUGAAGCCUUGCCUUGCAGAUCAAUUUUUAUGGGUGGCAUCACUAAAAUUAAUGAGACUGCUAAGAAAUACAUGUUUAAUUUCUGCUUACAAAGACGUGAAUUCACUCUGGAAUUUUCGGUACCUGUUGGGUACGUAAACAAAAUGUAUGACUGGAAGACUGAUUUAUUCUGAUAGACUCUGCAAGUACCUUAAAGCUUUCUUAAUAUGCAUGAGUGCUUGCAUCUGCAGGAUGUGGGUGCAUGAGCAAGUGAAUCCGGAGACUUUAAGUGUUUAUGCUUCAUCAUCAAGACAUGUUGUGUGAAAUGAUGCUUGCUGCUAGUUCCAUCUGUGCUUGUUAUUUUAUAUUGCUGUGCUGUGGCCAUUUCUGAAUGCAGAUUCAUAUCUGUAAAACAUCUGAUUGUGUACUUUAACUUAGCAAACAUGCUUAUUUCUACUGAACAGUAUAAAACUGAAGUGAAUGAAAAACUAACAGAAAGAUUAAA
This is a long non-coding RNA of Oxyura jamaicensis (ruddy duck), 935 nucleotides long. RefSeq lists it as uncharacterized. The record is from RefSeq and is a predicted model, not a curated record. The transcript has 3 exons. NCBI's taxonomy places the organism in Eukaryota, Metazoa, Chordata, Aves, Anseriformes, Anatidae.